UGAUUUUAUUAAUUUUAACUUAAUAUAGUUCAUUAAUAAUAAAACAGGAAUGAAUUGACGCCUAAAAUAAGCUUGGAAUUGUUUAGUUGCAUCGUGACAAACGCUAGCAUUUGGGUCCUAGUGCACGAGACUUCGCAAAUGAUACAAUUGAUGAAUUACUGGGCCUCAUGCAUUAGUAGCUGCAGGAUCAUGAUCAGCUGUGGCAUUGAUAAUCUUAGUGGUUGAGACCCUGAGAGAUGCAGAGUCGUCGCAUUUUGUUCGUUGGAGGUUGGGGGCACGGUGAAGCCUGCACCUGAAAGAACCAGCAUGGGAAGUUGGAGAG
This 322-nucleotide unclassified non-coding RNA is filed under the name Hevea brasiliensis (rubber tree). Lineage: Eukaryota; Viridiplantae; Streptophyta; Magnoliopsida; Malpighiales; Euphorbiaceae. The record is from RNAcentral.